RNAcentral lists this ribosomal RNA (524 nucleotides) under uncultured bacterium. RNAcentral's name for it is "bacterial SSU rRNA". It matches the Rfam family "Bacterial small subunit ribosomal RNA", at positions 37 to 595 of the family's 1533-position model. The record is from RNAcentral.
UGGCAGCGUGCAUAACACAUGCAAGUCGAACGAUGAAGCAUUCUUCGGAAUGUGGAAGAGUGGCGAACGGGUGAGGAACACGUAAGAAUCUGCCCCUCAGUCGGGGACAACCCUUGGAAACGAGGGCUAAUACCCGAUACGCUGUGGAGUGAAAGAAUUUCGCUGAGGGAUGAUCUUGCGUCUGAUUAGCUAGUUGGUGUGGUAAUGGCACACCAAGGCGACGAUCAGUAGCUGGUCUGAGAGGAUGAACAGCCACAUUGGAACUGAGACACGGUCCAAACUCCUACGGGAGGCAGCAGUGGGGAAUUUUCCGCAAUGGACGAAAGUCUGACGGAGCGACGCUGCGUGAAGGAUGACGGCCUGCGGGUUGUAAACUUCUUUUCUCGAAGAAGAAGCUCUGACGGUAUUCGAGGAAUAAGCAUCGGCUAACUCCGUGCCAGCAGCCGCGGUAAGACGGAGGAUGCAAGUGUUAUUCGGAAUGAUUGGGCGUAAAGAGUCUGUAGGCUGUACGGAAAGUCUUUUGU